Molecule: long non-coding RNA, 245 nt
Filed under: Glycine max (soybean)
Lineage: Eukaryota; Viridiplantae; Streptophyta; Magnoliopsida; Fabales; Fabaceae
Description: long non-coding RNA (GMAX_LNC002394)
Source: RNAcentral
GAAAAGGUGCACGGCUUCUUUUUCUUCGACGUCAAUCACUAGGAAAAUUCACUUUAUAUAUUGAUUUCCUAGCUUAAUUAACAUCAUUUUAUAGUGGGCUUCCAAGUUGUACGCUAUUUAUUUCUUCUUCUAAGUCAUUAAUCCCCGACAAGAUGAGACGGGUUAUUAGUCAUGCAUACUGAAAUCCAUAAAUAUAAAUGGGAAAGGGAGGUUCAAUCAAGAACUUUUAUUUUUUUCCCUUUUCU